This 489-nucleotide ribosomal RNA is filed under the name uncultured bacterium. RNAcentral's name for it is "bacterial SSU rRNA". It matches the Rfam family "Bacterial small subunit ribosomal RNA", at positions 29 to 535 of the family's 1533-position model. The record is from RNAcentral.
AGCGAACGCUGGCGGCAGGCCUAACACAUGCAAGUCGAACGAACUCUUCGGAGUUAGUGGCGGACGGGUGAGUAACACGUGGGAACGUGCCUUUAGGUUCGGAAUAACUCAGGGAAACUUGUGCUAAUACCGAAUGUGCCCUUCGGGGAAAGAUUUAUCGCCUUUAGAGCGGCCCGCGUCUGAUUAGCUAGUUGGUGAGGUAAAGGCUCACCAAGGCAACGAUCAGUAGCUGGUCUGAGAGGAUGACCAGCCACAUUGGGACUGAGACACGGCCCAAACUCCUACGGGAGGCAGCAGUGGGGAAUCUUGCGCAAUGGGCGAAAGCCUGACGCAGCCAUGCCGCGUGUGUGAAGAAGGCCCUGCGGGGUUAGUAAAGCACUUUCAGUGGGGAAGAACAGAUUCGGGUCAAUACCCCGGAGCCCUGACGUUACCCACAGAAGAAGCACCGGCUUAACNCCGUGCCAGCAGCCGCGGUUAAUGUAGUCGUGU